Molecule: ribosomal RNA, 525 nt
Filed under: Triticum aestivum (bread wheat)
Lineage: Eukaryota; Viridiplantae; Streptophyta; Magnoliopsida; Poales; Poaceae
Description: partial small subunit ribosomal RNA
Source: RNAcentral
AUGAGACCCAAACUGGUGGACUAUUUUCCUCUUCUGAGAAGAAUUGAAACACGACUCCAAUGUUGUUCCACUUUACUCUCCUAUGGAGAUAAGCUCACUCUCAUUAAAUCAGUUUUAUCAAGCAUGUCGAUUUUCUUCAUGAGCACACUGAGAUUACCUAAAUCUGUGAUCCAUCAAAUCAACAAGUACUUAAAACAUUGUUUUUGGAGAAAAUAUGGAUAUGAAGAGACAAUUGUUACCCUGAUCUCAUUGGAUAAAGACAGCCAACCCAAAUCUCAUGGUGGACUAGGGGUACCGAAUAUUGAGACUCAUAACCAGACCCUUCUUAUGAAAUUCCUCCAUAAGUUCCUCAACAAAAGUGAUAGACCUUGGGUGCAGAUUAUUCGGGAAGCCGAUUACUCCACUCAGAACCCUGGUACUAAUAUGGUUGACUCUUUUUGGUGGAGGGACAUACUGAAAGUCCUACCCACUUUCAAGCACUUUGCUAUCUGCAAACCUGGCGGUGGAGAAACACUUCCGUUCUAG